CAAUGGGCGAAAGCCUGAUCCAGCCAUGCCGCGUGUGUGAAGAAGGUCUUCGGAUUGUAAAGCACUUUAAUUUGGGAAGAAAGGCAUUUACCUAAUACGUAAGUGUUUUGACGUUACCCACAGAAUAAACACCGGCUAACUNUGUGCCAACAGCCGCGGUAAUAA
This 165-nucleotide ribosomal RNA is filed under the name uncultured Pseudomonas sp. RNAcentral describes it as "partial 16S ribosomal RNA". It matches the Rfam family "Bacterial small subunit ribosomal RNA", at positions 369 to 526 of the family's 1533-position model. The record is from RNAcentral. Lineage: Bacteria; Pseudomonadati; Pseudomonadota; Gammaproteobacteria; Pseudomonadales; Pseudomonadaceae.